Molecule: ribosomal RNA, 259 nt
Filed under: Campylobacter jejuni
Lineage: Bacteria; Pseudomonadati; Campylobacterota; Epsilonproteobacteria; Campylobacterales; Campylobacteraceae
Description: partial 23S ribosomal RNA
Rfam family: Bacterial large subunit ribosomal RNA
Source: RNAcentral
UAAAAAAAGGUAAGCUACUAAGAGCGAAUGGUGGAUGCCUUGACUGGUAAAGGCGAUGAAGGACGUACUAGACUGCGAUAAGCUACGGGGAGCUGUCAAGAAGCUUUGAUCCGUAGAUUUCCGAAUGGGGCAACCCAAUGUAUAGAGAUAUACAUUACCUAUAUAGGAGCGAACGAGGGGAAUUGAAACAUCUUAGUACCCUCAGGAAAAGAAAUCAAUAGAGAUUGCGUCAGUAGCGGCGAGCGAAAGCGCAAGAGGG